UAGCUCAGUCGGUAAAGAGUUUGCCUGCAAUGCAGGAGACCCAGGUUCGAUCCCUGG
Non-coding RNA from Bos taurus (domestic cattle), 57 nucleotides. The record is from Rfam. Lineage: Eukaryota; Metazoa; Chordata; Mammalia; Artiodactyla; Bovidae.